UGGAGAAUUUUGGACAAUGGACGCAAGUCUGAUCCAGCCAUGCCGCGUGCGGGAAGAAGGCCUUCGGGUUGUAAACCGCUUUUGUCAGGGAAGAAACGAGUUUCUCUAAUACAGAGACUUAAUGACGGUACCUGAAGAAUAAGCACCGGCUAACUACGUGCCAGCAGCCGCGGUAAUACGUAGGGUGCGAGCGUUAAUCGGAAUUACUGGGCGUAAAGCGUGCGCAGGCGGUUUUGUGAGACAGAGGUGAAAUCCCCGGGCUCAACCUGGGAAUUGCCUUUGUGACUGAAAGGCUUGAGUGCGGCAGAGGGGGAUGGAAUUCCGCGUGUAGCAGUGAAAUGCGUAGAUAUGCGGAGGAACACCGACGGCGAAGGCAAUCCCCUAGGCCUGCACUGACGCUCAUGCACGAAAGCGUGGGGAGCAAACA
RNAcentral lists this ribosomal RNA (427 nucleotides) under uncultured bacterium. Its description in RNAcentral is "bacterial SSU rRNA". It matches the Rfam family "Bacterial small subunit ribosomal RNA", at positions 355 to 774 of the family's 1533-position model. The record is from RNAcentral.